CCAUGCCUGGUUUAAGAUUUCGAUGGACCUGUCACAAUCCAGUUUGCAGAAUUUCACCCGAGAGAUACUCAUCCAUCAUCAAUAUCACAAGUAUUUCUUUUAUUUUCUGGUCCCAACAAGCUUCUCUUUUUCCUCAGUCGUCGUUGUAUCCGUCAGUUUCUAUAAUGCCUCGACAACAGAAGCUUUUGUCAUCACGAGUGCUUAAAGUGUGAUUCGCUGAAUCCAUAGGGUUACCCAUUGCAGGAUCUACUGAUUAUUGGCUUGGCAGAGGAUGUGAAAUACAAGAAUGAAGAUUUGAGAGGUAUUUGAAUGGGAACCGGCUUGUUAGGACAAUAAGAAUGAAGUUUAAAAACAUGGACAGUUCGUAGAAGAACCCCAGCAGUGACAAGCAGUGACAUGGAUAGUUUGUUAAGGAAUCACAUCAGUUACACAUGGACAUGUCUACAAGGUGUACGUGUGGACAUCGUUAGACGAUGUACAUGUGGACGUGGACAUAAUGGUUUAGCUUCUUGUAACAUAAUGGACAACAAAAAUUAUUGUCUAUGUGUAUGCUUAUGUCAUGUACAUGUUUUCAUGAGAGUACUUGU
Molecule: long non-coding RNA, 587 nt
Organism: Raphanus sativus (radish)
Lineage: Eukaryota; Viridiplantae; Streptophyta; Magnoliopsida; Brassicales; Brassicaceae
Exons: 3
Source: RefSeq, a predicted model, not a curated record